RNAcentral lists this ribosomal RNA (417 nucleotides) under uncultured bacterium. RNAcentral's name for it is "bacterial SSU rRNA". It matches the Rfam family "Bacterial small subunit ribosomal RNA", at positions 88 to 507 of the family's 1533-position model. The record is from RNAcentral.
UGAGAGAGCGGCGUACGGGUGCGGAACACGUGUGCAACCUGCCUUAUCUGGGGAUAGCCUUUCGAAAGGAAGAUUAAUACUCCAUAAUAUAUUGAACGGCAUCGUUAAUAUUGAAAGCUCCGGCGGAUAGAGAUGGGCACGCGCAAGAUUAGCUAGUUGGUGAGGUAACGGCUCACCAAGGCAAUGAUCUUUAGGGGGCCUGAGAGGGUAAUCCCCCACACUGGUACUGAGACACGGACCAGACUCCUACGGGAGGCAGCAGUGAGGAAUAUUGGUCAAUGGGUGCAAGCCUGAACCAGCCAUCCCGCGUGAAGGACGACUGCCCUAUGGGUUGUAAACUUCUUUUGUAUAGGGAUAAACCUUUCCACGUGUGGAAAGCUGAAGGUACUAUACGAAUAAGCACCGGCUAACUCCGUG